RNAcentral lists this long non-coding RNA (1349 nucleotides) under Homo sapiens (human). RNAcentral describes it as "HSALNT0126123". The record is from RNAcentral. Lineage: Eukaryota; Metazoa; Chordata; Mammalia; Primates; Hominidae.
AUGAGCCACUGUGCCCGGCCCACUGCUUUCUAAUACAAAAUCUCAGAUGGAGGCACUGGGGACCCAGACACUUCUCACAGUGGGUGUGGAGGUCAGGCUGAACACUGGAAGACCAGCUGAGACACUGCAGGAGAAGCGCUUGGAUCCUCAAAUGCCAUUCCCCAGUUUGAACUGAAUGUCUGUGCUCCCUCCCCAGUAGAAGACUAGAGGAGUAGUUCUCAAAGAGAUGGAGUCUCACUAUAUUGCCUGUACUGGUCUCAAACUCUUGGCCUCAAGCAAUCCUCCCGCCUCAGCCUCCCUAACUGCUGGGAUUACAGGCAUGAGCCCCUGCACCCAACCCCAGCAUUUCCAUACCUAUGUACUGAUUAAAGAGACCCUCAGCCACUUCCCCCAGUAGGGUCAUAGAACCUUAGACACCUACCCAUAAGGUGGGAGAUUGAAAGAUUCUCUUCCAAGGAAUCUGAUAAGCCUAAAGAAAAAAAGCAUGUCCUGUGUAUUGGUAGUUGAGGUCCCUCCCAGUGAAGGGGGCCAGUACCCCAGCUGAGCUUCUUCCCCCUGGACAAUGGAACCAUCUGGGAAGCUUUUAAAUAUAUGAAUGUCAGGGAUCCAGCCAAUUCAACCACAUGCUCCAGGGGCAGGGCCCUGGCAUUUGUGUUGGUUUUAAAGCCUCCUUGGUGAUAAAAGCAUGCUGCCAGGGCGGGCUUGGAACCACUCCUUUGUGGGAAAGAUCACCAGCCAAUAAGUCACAGCCACAUAGACCGGAGGACUUCUGAGUGCUUCAUUCCCAAGCAUGAGUCUAUAGUCAAAUAUCACCUCAUAUUGAGGAAGCUCUACUGUGAAAGUCAGAGACCAAAAUAAACAGAAGAAAGGAAGAGCUUAAAGGAAACAAUGCAAGGAGCAGAAGAAACCUUCAAGUGAGAUCUUCAGAGAUUUUCUUUAAAAAAAGGAUAGUACAUCUAUGAAGCAAGAACAGGCAAUUACAAAAGGACAUUCAGAGAACAAGAAAACAAGUUAAACAUUUUGUAACAAAUAAAAUCUUCAAUGGAAGUUUUGGAAGCUAAGUUGUGGAACUCUCCCUUAUUUAUUUAUUUAUUUAUUUAUUUAUUUAUUUAUUUAUUUAUUAUUUUUUUGUUUUAAAUAGAGACAGGGUUUCGCCGUGUUGCCCAGGCUGGUCUCAAACUCCUGGGCUUAAGCGAUCCUCCCACCUCAGCCUCCCACAGUGUUAGGAUUACAGGCAUGAGCCACCGUGCCCAGCCAGAGGUCUCCUUUCAAGCAGAACAGACAAAGGGAGAGAGAUGGAAAUUGGAGAGCAGGUUUCCAAUGAUGGGGCCUGGGGCAGUGGAAAGGGG